RNAcentral lists this transfer RNA (76 nucleotides) under Prosthecobacter sp. RNAcentral's name for it is "tRNA-Thr". It matches the Rfam family "tRNA". Rfam says of the family: Transfer RNA (tRNA) molecules are approximately 80 nucleotides in length. Their secondary structure includes four short double-helical elements and three loops (D, anti-codon, and T loops). The record is from RNAcentral. Lineage: Bacteria; Pseudomonadati; Verrucomicrobiota; Verrucomicrobiia; Verrucomicrobiales; Verrucomicrobiaceae.
GUCUUCGUGGCCGAAACAGAAAGGCACCUGUCUUGUAAACAGGUUCAUGUGGGCGCGAAUCCCACCGAAGGCUCCA